This 510-nucleotide long non-coding RNA is filed under the name Aquilegia coerulea. RNAcentral describes it as "long non-coding RNA (ACOE_LNC001535)". The record is from RNAcentral. Lineage: Eukaryota; Viridiplantae; Streptophyta; Magnoliopsida; Ranunculales; Ranunculaceae.
CCACUAAAGAAGAGGAGCCAGUAGUUGAAGCAAAGGGGGAAGCUGUUAGCAUUGAAGAGGAGACUCCCACUAAAGAAGAAGAACCAGUAGUUGAAGCAGCUAAGGAGGAUGCUGCAGUUAGCACUGAAGAGGAGACAACCACUAAAGAAGAAGAACCAACAGUUGAACCAAUGGAGGAAGCUCCAGUUAGCACUGAAACUACUGUUGAGAAGACUGAGGAAUAGAUGGGGAAUGUUGCAUGAAGUGUUUUGAGUACUAAAUGGAAGUAUGUCUUAUGAAGUUCUUGCUUGUGCUGCAUAUUAGUUUUCUUAAGUUAUUUGGUUAUGAUGAGAGUUGAGAUGUAGAAAUAGGUGGGUGUCCAUUGGGUCGACGUGUACCGUAUAUUCCACUUGGCAAGCAUUUAGUGGUCCAUAUGUAGUAAACAUUCUCAUACUCACUUGGAGAAUGUCUAAUGUGCCAUGGAGUGGAGUCUGGUUGUUGGUCACAAUGAGUCAAAGAGGUUUGUGUGGG